GACGAACGCUGGCGGCGUGCUUAACACAUGCAAGUCGAACGGACAGGCCCUGCUUGCAGGGUACUCGAGUGGCGAACGGGUGGGUAACACGUGGGUGAUCUGCCCUGCACUUCGGGAUAAGCCUGGGAAACUGGGUCUAACACCGGAGAGGAGCCAUAUUUAGUGUGAUGGUUGGAAAGUUUUGUCGGUGUGGGAUGAGCUUGAGGCCUAUCAGCUUGUUGGAGGGGUAAUGGCCUACCAAGGCGGCGGAGGGAAGCAGGCCUGAGGGGGUGGCCGGCCACAUAGACACUUAGAGGCGGCCCAGACUCCGACGGGAGGCAGCGGUGGGGAAUCUUGAACGAGGGGCGCAGGCCUGAUGCAGCGGCGCCGCGUGGGGGAGAACGGCCUUCGGGUUGUAAACUCAAUUCGCUAGGAACGAAGCUUUUUGUGACGGUACCUAGAGAAGAAGCCCCGGCUAACUACGUG
Molecule: ribosomal RNA, 465 nt
Filed under: uncultured bacterium
Lineage: Bacteria
Description: partial 16S ribosomal RNA
Rfam family: Bacterial small subunit ribosomal RNA
Source: RNAcentral